CUUUCUUCCUUCUUUUCAUAAUUCUCUCGCACCACUCCAACGCUGACGUUGGCACCUCUUCCCGUUACUCCCCUCCAUAUUUACGUAAGUACCUUCAUCACCAAAAAUAUAUAUAUGUAAAUAUCUCAAACUAUAAACUCAUCAAUUAAUUCUUAAUUAUAUAUCUAUCAUAUUAUAUAGCCUCGGGGUGUUACGGCAACGAAGCCACGCAGUUUCCGUCGAGUAAUCUUUUUGCGGCGGCCGGAGAUGGAAUCUGGGACAAUGGAGCGGCGUGUGGGAGGCAGUACCUUGUGAGAUGUAUAAGUGCAGAGGAACCUAUGACUUGCAUUCCCGACCAGAGUAUUCAGAUUAAGAUUGUUGAUUACGCGGCAUCUGCGGUGUCGCCGCCCUCCACCGCCGGCACAACCAU
RNAcentral lists this long non-coding RNA (409 nucleotides) under Vigna radiata. RNAcentral's name for it is "long non-coding RNA (VRAD_LNC007420)". The record is from RNAcentral. Lineage: Eukaryota; Viridiplantae; Streptophyta; Magnoliopsida; Fabales; Fabaceae.